Molecule: ribosomal RNA, 382 nt
Filed under: uncultured fungus
Lineage: Eukaryota; Fungi
Description: SSU rRNA
Rfam family: Eukaryotic small subunit ribosomal RNA
Source: RNAcentral
AGCUCCAAUAGCGUAUAUUAAAAUUGUUGCCGUUAAAAAGCUCGUAGUCGAACUUCGGGCUCUGUCAGCCGGUCCGCCUUCUUGGUGUGUACUUGUUUGACGGAGCCUUACCUCCUGGUGAACGGCAAUGUCCUUUACUGGGUGUCGUCGCAAACCAGGACUUUUACUUUGAAAAAAUUAGAGUGUUCAAAGCAGGCCUUUGCCCGAAUACAUUAGCAUGGAAUAAUAAAAUAGGACGCGCGUUCCCAUUUUGUUGGUUUCUGAGAUCGCCGUAAUGAUUAAUAGGGAUAGUUGGGGGCAUUUGUAUUCCGUCGUCAGAGGUGAAAUUCUUGGAUUGCCGGAAGACAAACUACUGCGAAAGCAUUUGCCAAGGAUGUUUUCA